This 75-nucleotide transfer RNA is filed under the name subsurface metagenome. Its description in RNAcentral is "tRNA-Phe". It matches the Rfam family "tRNA". Rfam says of the family: Transfer RNA (tRNA) molecules are approximately 80 nucleotides in length. Their secondary structure includes four short double-helical elements and three loops (D, anti-codon, and T loops). The record is from RNAcentral.
UGGUGAGAUAGCUCAGUAGGUAGAGCACGGGACUGAAAAUCCCGGUGUCGGCGGUUCAAUUCCGCCUCUCACCAU